UGCGUAGGUGGUUUCUUAAGUCAGAGGUGAAAGGCUACGGCUCAACCCGUAGUAAGCCUUUGAAACUGGGAAACUUGAGUGCAGGAGAGGAGAGUGGAAUUCCUAGUGUAGCGGUGAAAUGCGUAGAUAUUAGGAGGAACACCAGUUGCGAAGGCGGCUCUCUGGACUGUAACUGACACUGAGGCACGAAAGCGUGGGGAGCAAACA
RNAcentral lists this ribosomal RNA (207 nucleotides) under uncultured bacterium. RNAcentral describes it as "partial 16S ribosomal RNA". It matches the Rfam family "Bacterial small subunit ribosomal RNA", at positions 568 to 774 of the family's 1533-position model. The record is from RNAcentral.